UGAGCAAUCUGCCCUUCUCAUCGGAAUAAGCGUUGGAAACGACGUCUAAUGCCGAAUACGACCUCCUUUCGCAUGAUCGGAGGUGGAAAGCUCCGGCGGAGAAGGAUGAGCUCGCGGCCUAUCAGCUAGUUGGUGUGGGUAAUGGCCCACCAAGGCGACGACGGGUAGCCGGCCUGAGAGGGUGACCGGCCACACUGGGACUGAGACACGGCCCAGACUCCUGNGGAGG
This 229-nucleotide ribosomal RNA is filed under the name uncultured bacterium. RNAcentral's name for it is "partial 16S ribosomal RNA". It matches the Rfam family "Bacterial small subunit ribosomal RNA", at positions 118 to 347 of the family's 1533-position model. The record is from RNAcentral.